RNAcentral lists this ribosomal RNA (2918 nucleotides) under Bacillus anthracis (anthrax bacterium). RNAcentral describes it as "bacterial LSU rRNA". It matches the Rfam family "Bacterial large subunit ribosomal RNA". The record is from RNAcentral. Lineage: Bacteria; Bacillati; Bacillota; Bacilli; Caryophanales; Bacillaceae.
UAAGUUAGAAGGGCGCACGGUGGAUGCCUUGACACUAGGAGUCGAUGAAGGACGGGACUAACGCCGAUAUGCUUCGGGGAGCUGUAAGUAAGCUUUGAUCCGAAGAUUUCCGAAUGGGGAAACCCACCAUACGUAAUGGUAUGGUAUCCUUAUCUGAAUACAUAGGGUAAGGAAGACAGACCCAGGGAACUGAAACAUCUAAGUACCUGGAGGAAGAGAAAGCAAAUGCGAUUUCCUGAGUAGCGGCGAGCGAAACGGAACAUAGCCCAAACCAAGAGGCUUGCCUCUUGGGGUUGUAGGACAUUCUAUACGGAGUUACAAAGGAACGAGGUAGACGAAGCGACCUGGAAAGGUCCGUCGUAGAGGGUAACAACCCCGUAGUCGAAACUUCGUUCUCUCUUGAAUGUAUCCUGAGUACGGCGGAACACGUGAAAUUCCGUCGGAAUCUGGGAGGACCAUCUCCCAAGGCUAAAUACUCCCUAGUGAUCGAUAGUGAACCAGUACCGUGAGGGAAAGGUGAAAAGCACCCCGGAAGGGGAGUGAAAGAGAUCCUGAAACCGUGUGCCUACAAAUAGUCAGAGCCCGUUAAUGGGUGAUGGUGUGCCUUUUGUAGAAUGAACCGGCGAGUUACGAUCCCGUGCGAGGUUAAGCUGAAGAGGCGGAGCCGCAGCGAAAGCGAGUCUGAAUAGGGCGUUUAGUACGUGGUCGUAGACCCGAAACCAGGUGAUCUACCCAUGUCCAGGGUGAAGUUCAGGUAACACUGAAUGGAGGCCCGAACCCACGCACGUUGAAAAGUGCGGGGAUGAGGUGUGGGUAGCGGAGAAAUUCCAAUCGAACCUGGAGAUAGCUGGUUCUCCCCGAAAUAGCUUUAGGGCUAGCCUUAAGUGUAAGAGUCUUGGAGGUAGAGCACUGAUUGGACUAGGGGUCCUCAUCGGAUUACCGAAUUCAGUCAAACUCCGAAUGCCAAUGACUUAUCCUUAGGAGUCAGACUGCGAGUGAUAAGAUCCGUAGUCAAAAGGGAAACAGCCCAGACCGCCAGCUAAGGUCCCAAAGUGUGUAUUAAGUGGAAAAGGAUGUGGAGUUGCUUAGACAACUAGGAUGUUGGCUUAGAAGCAGCCACCAUUUAAAGAGUGCGUAAUAGCUCACUAGUCGAGUGACUCUGCGCCGAAAAUGUACCGGGGCUAAAUACACCACCGAAGCUGCGGAUUGAUACCAAUGGUAUCAGUGGUAGGGGAGCGUUCUAAGGACAGUGAAGUCAGACCGGAAGGACUGGUGGAGUGCUUAGAAGUGAGAAUGCCGGUAUGAGUAGCGAAAGACGGGUGAGAAUCCCGUCCACCGAAUGCCUAAGGUUUCCUGAGGAAGGCUCGUCCGCUCAGGGUUAGUCAGGACCUAAGCCGAGGCCGACAGGCGUAGGCGAUGGACAACAGGUUGAUAUUCCUGUACCACCUCUUUAUCGUUUGAGCAAUGGAGGGACGCAGAAGGAUAGAAGAAGCGUGCGAUUGGUUGUGCACGUCCAAGCAGUUAGGCUGAUAAGUAGGCAAAUCCGCUUAUCGUGAAGGCUGAGCUGUGAUGGGGAAGCUCCUUAUGGAGCGAAGUCUUUGAUUCCCCGCUGCCAAGAAAAGCUUCUAGCGAGAUAAAAGGUGCCUGUACCGCAAACCGACACAGGUAGGCGAGGAGAGAAUCCUAAGGUGUGCGAGAGAACUCUGGUUAAGGAACUCGGACAAAAUGACCCCGUAACUUCGGGAGAAGGGGUGCUUUCUUAACGGAAAGCCGCAGUGAAUAGGCCCAAGCGACUGUUUAGCAAAAACACAGCUCUCUGCGAAGCCGUAAGGCGAAGUAUAGGGGGUGACACCUGCCCGGUGCUGGAAGGUUAAGGAGAGGGGUUAGCGUAAGCGAAGCUCUGAACUGAAGCCCCAGUAAACGGCGGCCGUAACUAUAACGGUCCUAAGGUAGCGAAAUUCCUUGUCGGGUAAGUUCCGACCCGCACGAAAGGUGUAACGAUUUGGGCACUGUCUCAACCAGAGACUCGGUGAAAUUAUAGUACCUGUGAAGAUGCAGGUUACCCGCGACAGGACGGAAAGACCCCGUGGAGCUUUACUGUAGCCUGAUAUUGAAUUUUGGUACAGUUUGUACAGGAUAGGCGGGAGCCUUUGAAACCGGAGCGCUAGCUUCGGUGGAGGCGCUGGUGGGAUACCGCCCUGACUGUAUUGAAAUUCUAACCUACGGGUCUUAUCGACCCGGGAGACAGUGUCAGGUGGGCAGUUUGACUGGGGCGGUCGCCUCCUAAAGUGUAACGGAGGCGCCCAAAGGUUCCCUCAGAAUGGUUGGAAAUCAUUCGUAGAGUGCAAAGGCAUAAGGGAGCUUGACUGCGAGACCUACAAGUCGAGCAGGGACGAAAGUCGGGCUUAGUGAUCCGGUGGUUCCGCAUGGAAGGGCCAUCGCUCAACGGAUAAAAGCUACCCCGGGGAUAACAGGCUUAUCUCCCCCAAGAGUCCACAUCGACGGGGAGGUUUGGCACCUCGAUGUCGGCUCAUCGCAUCCUGGGGCUGUAGUCGGUCCCAAGGGUUGGGCUGUUCGCCCAUUAAAGCGGUACGCGAGCUGGGUUCAGAACGUCGUGAGACAGUUCGGUCCCUAUCCGUCGUGGGCGUAGGAAAUUUGAGAGGAGCUGUCCUUAGUACGAGAGGACCGGGAUGGACGCACCGCUGGUGUACCAGUUGUUCUGCCAAGGGCAUAGCUGGGUAGCUAUGUGCGGAAGGGAUAAGUGCUGAAAGCAUCUAAGCAUGAAGCCCCCCUCAAGAUGAGAUUUCCCAUAGCGUAAGCUAGUAAGAUCCCUGAAAGAUGAUCAGGUUGAUAGGUUCGAGGUGGAAGCAUGGUGACAUGUGGAGCUGACGAAUACUAAUAGAUCGAGGACUUAACCA